CUUCUGCAGCAGCUGCUGUUGCUGCUGCUCAAACUCCGCUCGCUGCCGCUGGUAGUCGAGGAAGGCGGCCUGCAUUUGGUCCGCAUAUGUGGGCACUUGGGCCCGUUGUCCUGCCACGCCCGACUGUGCCAGAAGUUGCUGCUGCUGCUGCUGCUGCUGCUGCAGCUGCUGCUGUUCGUGCUGCUGCUGCAGCUGCUGCUGCUGGAGUGUGGACACGGCGGAUGGCUUGGGCUUGCCACCACGAGCUGCUGCCUGCUGCU
Molecule: small RNA, 260 nt
Filed under: Drosophila guanche
Lineage: Eukaryota; Metazoa; Arthropoda; Insecta; Diptera; Drosophilidae
Source: RNAcentral